AGCUCCAAUAGCGUAUAUUAAAGUUGUUGCGGUUGAAAAGCUCGUAGUUGGAUUUCUGUCGAGGACGGUCGGUCCGCACUAUGUGCGAGUAUCUGAUUCGGCCACGGCAUCCUCUUGGGGAACGGCGCUUCUCUUGAUUGAGUGGCUCGGUAUCCAAGACUUUUACUUUGAGGAAAUUAGAGUGUUCACGGCAGGCAAUCGCCUUGAAUACAUUAGCAUGGAAUAAUAAUAUAGGAUCGCGGUUCUAUUUUGUUGGUUUCUAGAAUCGAGAUAAUGAUUAAUAGGGACAGUUGGGGGCAUUCGUAUUAACACGUCAGAGGUGGAAUUCUUGGAUUGUGUUACGACGAACUACUGCGAAAGCAUUUGCCAAGGAUGUUUUCA
Molecule: ribosomal RNA, 381 nt
Filed under: uncultured eukaryote
Lineage: Eukaryota
Description: SSU rRNA
Rfam family: Eukaryotic small subunit ribosomal RNA
Source: RNAcentral